Molecule: small RNA, 28 nt
Filed under: Bombyx mori (domestic silkworm)
Lineage: Eukaryota; Metazoa; Arthropoda; Insecta; Lepidoptera; Bombycidae
Description: ovarian small RNA-26045
Source: RNAcentral
UCAUCAUUUAAGGUCGGGACAUUCUCUA